CUUUUCUUGUUAGUUUUUGAAGUAUGGCCUGCCCACUGACUUUUAUAGGUUGAAGGGCCGCGGUAUUUUGACCGUGCAAAGGUAGCAUAAUCAUUAGUUCUUUAAUUGUGAUCUGGUAUGAAUGGCUUGACGAGACAUAGGCUGUCUUAAUGGUAUUGUUUAUUGAAUUUAGUUUUUAAGUUAAAAUUCUUAGAUGUUUUUAUGGGACGAGAAGACCCUAUAGAGUUUGACAUCUAGUUUUCUUUUUUGUUGCGUUUGUUUAUCUAUUUUGAGUUGACUAGGUGUUUUGUUGGGGUGAUGAGAGGAAUAAAUUUUAACUCCUCUUUGAUUUUUUAUAUUUAUUUAUAUUUGUUUUGAUCCAUUUAUUUUGAUUAUAAGAUUAAAUUACC
RNAcentral lists this ribosomal RNA (389 nucleotides) under Microcerotermes sp. IS178. RNAcentral's name for it is "partial 16S ribosomal RNA". The record is from RNAcentral. Lineage: Eukaryota; Metazoa; Arthropoda; Insecta; Blattodea; Termitidae.